UGGCUAACUCCUACGGGAGGCAGCAGCCGCGGUAAUACAGAGGGUGCGAGCGUUAAUCGGAUUUACUGGGCGUAAAGCGUGCGUAGGCGGCUUUUUAAGUCGGAUGUGAAAUCCCCGAGCUUAACUUGGGAAUUGCAUUCGAUACUGGGAAGCUAGAGUAUGGGAGAGGAUGGUAGAAUUCCAGGUGUAGCGGUGAAAUGCGUAGAGAUCUGGAGGAAUACCGAUGGCGAAGGCAGCCAUCUGGCCUAAUACUGACGCUGAGGUACGAAAGCAUGGGGAGCAAACAGGAUUAGAUACCCCGGUAGUCCAGCUGG
Molecule: ribosomal RNA, 314 nt
Filed under: uncultured bacterium
Lineage: Bacteria
Description: bacterial SSU rRNA
Rfam family: Bacterial small subunit ribosomal RNA
Source: RNAcentral